CAAAAACAUUUUUUAAUGACUUUUAUAUUAAAUAAAGCCUGCUCCUUGUAACAUAAAAAGCCGCAGAAAAUUUACUGUGCUAAGGUAGCAUAAUCACUUGUCUUUUAAUUUAAGACUAGAAUGAACGGCAUAACACUUAAUUAUUUUUCUUAACUAUAACCCUCUAAUUUUCAAUAAAAAUUAAAAUAUUUUUAUUCUUAUAAAAGACGACAAGACCCUAUAGAACUUCACUGUAGUUGAGCUGGGGAAGCUUAAUAAUAAUAAUCUUAUAUUACCCUUUUCAAUAAAUAACCUUUAAAAGAAAGUAAUCAAGUUACCUUAGGGAUAACAGCGUUAUAUAUUUUCAAAGCUCAUAUUAAUAAAUCUAUAUACGACCUCGAUGUUGAAUUAAUUUUACUCCCCUAUGCAAGAAUAGGAAUAGUAAGUCUGUUCGACUUUUUAAAAAUUACAUGAUCUGAGUUCAAACCGG
Molecule: ribosomal RNA, 469 nt
Filed under: Nesticella tibetana
Lineage: Eukaryota; Metazoa; Arthropoda; Arachnida; Araneae; Nesticidae
Description: partial 16S ribosomal RNA
Rfam family: Bacterial large subunit ribosomal RNA
Source: RNAcentral